CCGCGUGAGUGAUGAAGGCCUAUGGGUUGUAAGCUUCUUUUCUCAGAGAAGAAUUUUAGCGGUUUUUAAGGAAUAAGCAUCGGCUAACUCUGUGCCAGCAGCCCCGGUAAGAGAGAGGAUGCAAGCGUUAUCCGGAUUAAUUGGGCGUAAAGCGUCUGUAGGUGGUUUAUCAAGUCUUUUGUCAAAUAUCGGGGCCUAACCCUGGGCAGGCAGAUAAAACUAAUAUACUUGAUUUCAGUAGGGGCAGAGGGAAUUCCCGGUGGAGCGGUGAAAUGCGUAAAGAUCGGGAGGAACCCCAAAGGCGAAGGCACUCUGCUGGGCCGUAACUGACACUGAGAGACGAAAGCGAGGGUAGCAAAUGGGAUUAUAUACCCCAGUACUCCUCGCCGUAAACG
RNAcentral lists this ribosomal RNA (395 nucleotides) under uncultured Chlorella. RNAcentral's name for it is "bacterial SSU rRNA". It matches the Rfam family "Bacterial small subunit ribosomal RNA", at positions 397 to 808 of the family's 1533-position model. The record is from RNAcentral. Lineage: Eukaryota; Viridiplantae; Chlorophyta; Trebouxiophyceae.